CCUCGUUUUUUUCUCUCUCUCAACCCACAUCUACUCUCUCUACCUCGUCGGAGAUGACGACGACGACGAAGCUGUCGGCGAGCCAACCCCACUUGGAUUUCAUCCCUACGGUUUCGAAUUUAAUCUCCGAUAAUGAGUUCGGCAAGUUCCAAGGGCAGCCUAGGAGAUCCCAAGGCAUCUGAUCCGUCUUCUCAAAACUCAUAUUCUCAUACGAAGAACCCCUUCACCGUAGUCUAGCUAGCUUCAAAGCUGAUAUUCUCCCAAAGCCUAUAGGUUUCACAAAGGAAUCUCCACGGAUCAGUCAGGAUUGCUAGAUCUGGCAUGGACCUCAGAAGCAAAUCAAGGGUUAGUAACUUAUCUGCAGUCUCUCUUUGUCACAAGUCAACAAGGUUCUCUGUGAGAAGUUUCUGAAACGAAAGCUCUGUCUUACUAAAUAAAUUGACCGAGGAUCUCUACCAAGUCAAGUCAAUAAUCAGCCAUAUUGUGGAAAUGAUAGCACUAAUAGAGACUUGGGUUCAGCUUAUGUUGUUUUCUAUCUUAUCAACUGAUUUCUUGUUGACUUCUUGUCACCGAUCAAGAAAACAGAGUUGAUAAUUGCUACUCGAUCAGUUCCUAUUGUAAGAAGUUGUUGGAGAACUCUCCAAUCAGCUACUUGGCUUGCAUAUAUUCCAGCUAGUUCUUUGUUGUUUCUCUUUGUAACUUAUCUGCAAAUCAAGGAUGUUGCCAGGACCAGUAAGUGACCCCUCAAAACUUCCCAAGUGGAACUAUGAUGAGUCUAGCACAGGCCAAGCUCCAAGGGAGGUGGACAGUGAGGUCAUCCUCUACUAAGAUGUUCUGGAAAUUUGAUUAGUAUAUAACUUGAUUUAAUUAGUUUGCACUAUCUUUUAACUGAUUACUAUAUUGGGUACAACGUUUGCAUUGCCUUUAACCAAUGAGAAAGAUAACUAACAUCAAGUGCUUUGUAUGUAAUAUGACUUACCCCAAAGAGAGAAGUGUUGCAGUUCUGUAAACACAUGAGUGAGACCCAGUGUGGGCUAUAGGUUCAGAAACAAAGAAAUUCUCUUCUGGGCCUCUCUUUGGAUUUCUUCUUUGUGUUGCCUCUACUCUGGUAUGAUCAAAUCAAGUUGAUUAUGUAUUUUGGUAGUGAAGUUCUGUUUACUGUGUUCUUGAUCAUUUCUGUGGUUUAACUUUAUGGAAGAGUAGUUGGUAUUAAUUUUAUUGAUGCCUCAGUUAUAUUUUAUUAAUUUUGGUAAGUAGAUUUGGUUACAUUUAACUGCCAAUUGAAGUAUGUGGAUUUGAAUGGGAUGUAAGUUUGAAUCAGAUGUUUGAAGGGGUAUUCAACUUUGUGAUUGGGUGGACGUUCAUGUCUGCUACUUUGCUUUUCAUUGAUGGGAAGAGGGACAGAUGCAAGGGGUCUCUUGAUGUCUUAUGGGGCUUUCAGAUGUUCCUUACAAACAGUAUGCUUUCUUUAGUUAAACUUUGAAAAUGGUUGGAGUUCCUUAGCAUGGAUAUGUUUUAGGCUUAUUUUUCCGGUCAGUGUCCUUUUAGUAGCUUGAAGUUGCUGUUGGUGGUAUAAUGAAGAAGUAAGAAAGUUAGGAUUUGUGUGUUGUAGGUAAUUUGUUACUAGUGAAUAUUUAGAAGCUUUGAAUUUUAAGUGAAACUGGAUCUUUAAGUUUAGGAUUGAAAAUUAUGGAACAAUUUGGAAAGCUAAAGCAGUGACCUCCUUAUUUCUUGAUAACAGACUUAAAGAGUAGGUCUUUCUGUGCUUGCUUCUACUAUGUGAUGCUCUCAAGUCUAACUUCUCCAGCAUUUUAGGUGAUUGAUUCUCACGUGCAUGAUACUCUAUCUGGUACCUUGCAAGUGCUAGUAGAGAAGAGUUUCUCUUAUUGUGUUUUGUAUAUGAUGUUAUGUUCUGUUCUGUUCUAUUCUUUUAAUUGGUUAUAGGUUCUCAAACAUCUAUCUUCUUAUUCAAAUUGAAAUGAAUAGGCUCUCAAGCCAUUUAAGCACCCAUCUGGGAGAGGCAAUAAUAUCUGGGUGACCAUGAGAUGCUUUGUUAUUCAUAAUUGUAUUUGAUUAUGAGAUGUUUUGUUUUUCUUCAAGGAUUUCUGAGUGAAGAUGCUUUGGCUCAAUGAAAGAAUUGCUACCGGAAUUCGCUGAAACUCUGUUUCAAGUAGAUGCAUUUGAUUUCAAACGUCAGAGUGAUGCUACAUUUUAGUUUAAGAUGUGGUGGUGAUCUAGAGUGAGAUUGAUUUGAUUACUGAAAUGGUUCCCUCCCAGUGAAUGCAUCUAUAAGAAAGGAUGCCAUGCUGCCAAUAUCCAGUAUUCUUUAAGAACUGUCGUUUCGGGAUUCCUUCUAUGUACGAGUUUGGUGAUGAGGUGCACUCGAAAUGGCUGCUUACAAAGUUGCAGCACAUUCGUUCUCAUAGCUAUGCACUGCAUUUGUAGAAUAUUCAGAGUAGAAGAUUGAAGGUUAAUCAUCUGUUACAAUUCUUCUUCUGCAAGUUCAAAUUUGUCAUUAUAGAAGGCUCACCCUUAUGUAGUUGCUUGUAUUAUGUAAUGUUUUAAAAAUUGUUCUCCAGUAUAGAUAUUGUAAUGAUGAUUUGAGAAAGGAAUAAAAGAAGAUGGGAAUACAUUUUUUCUCUUUGCUUUUAUUGAAAUUAAUGUGUAUUGAAUAUUUAUUUUUAUUGAAAUUAUUUUUAUUCUAAAUAUGAAACUGGAUUAUG
RNA transcript from Fragaria vesca subsp. vesca, 2723 nucleotides. RefSeq lists it as uncharacterized. The transcript has 6 exons. The record is from RefSeq and is a predicted model, not a curated record. Lineage: Eukaryota; Viridiplantae; Streptophyta; Magnoliopsida; Rosales; Rosaceae.